CUACGGGAUGCAGCAGUGGGGAAUAUUGGACAAUGGGGGAAACCCUGAUCCAGCAAUGCCGCGUGUGUGAAGAAGGCCUGCGGGUUGUAAAGCACUUUCGGUUGGGAGGACUGCUUCUAGCACUAAUAUUGUUGGAAGUUGACGUUACCUUCAGAAGAAGCACCGGCUAGCUCCGUGGCCAGCAGCCGCGGUAAUACGGAGGUUGCAAGCGUUAAUCGGAAUUACUGGGCGUAAAGCGCGCGUAGGCGGCUAGAUCAGUCGGGUGUGAAAGCCCCGGGCUUAACCUGGGAACUGCAUCCGAUACUGUCUAGCUUGAGUACAGGAGAGGAGAGUGGAAUUCCACAUGUAGCGGUGAAAUGCGUAGAUAUGUGGAGGAACACCAAUGGCGAAGGCAGCUCUCUGGCCUGAUACUGACGCUGAGGUGCGAAAGCGUGGGGAGCAAACAGGAUUAGAUACCCGCGUAGUC
RNAcentral lists this ribosomal RNA (466 nucleotides) under uncultured bacterium. RNAcentral describes it as "partial 16S ribosomal RNA". It matches the Rfam family "Bacterial small subunit ribosomal RNA", at positions 339 to 795 of the family's 1533-position model. The record is from RNAcentral.